Molecule: transfer RNA, 71 nt
Filed under: Nonomuraea composti
Lineage: Bacteria; Bacillati; Actinomycetota; Actinomycetes; Streptosporangiales; Streptosporangiaceae
Description: tRNA-Arg
Source: RNAcentral
AGACCUCCUUAGUCGGCAGGGUUGCCCUCGCUCUCCUAAAGCGGGUGCCGCAGGUUCGAAUCCUGCCGGGG